AUUGAACGCUGGCGGCAGGCUUAACACAUGCAAGUCGAGCGGAGGAAGGUAGCUUGCUACUGGACUUAGCGGCGGACGGGUGAGUAAUGCUUAGGAAUCUGCCUAUUAGUGGGGGACAACGUUUCGAAAGGAGCGCUAAUACCGCAUACGCCCUACGGGGGAAAGCAGGGGAUCACUUGUGACCUUGCGCUAAUAGAUGAGCCUAAGUCGGAUUAGCUAGUUGGUGGGGUAAAGGCUCACCAAGGCGACGAUCUGUAGCGGGUCUGAGAGGAUGAUCCGCCACACUGGGACUGAGACACGGCCCAGACUCCUACGGGAGGCAGCAGUGGGGAAUAUUGGACAAUGGGCGAAAGCCUGAUCCAGCCAUGCCGCGUGUGUGAAGAAGGCCUUAUGGUUGUAAAGCACUUUCAGCGAGGAGGAAGGUGGUGAACUUAAUACGUUCAUCAAUUGACGUUACUCGCAGAAGAAGCACCGGCUAACUCCGUGCCAGCCGCCGCCGUAAAAC
RNAcentral lists this ribosomal RNA (505 nucleotides) under uncultured bacterium. Its description in RNAcentral is "bacterial SSU rRNA". It matches the Rfam family "Bacterial small subunit ribosomal RNA", at positions 30 to 526 of the family's 1533-position model. The record is from RNAcentral.